ACGCCCCCUAAAGUCCUUCCGGCUGGAGCCGGGGCCGGCCGGUCUCCGCAGCCCGGGGCUGUGGCCGGACCCGGCAGGGAGGCCGGGAGCUGGAGUCCGGGCGGGGAAGGCGGAACUAGCGUGGAUGAGUAAAGGGUGGCGAGGGAGACAAGUCUGCGGAGAAGGAAAAAGUCUAGAGUGAGAAGAUACGGCUGGAGGCUGAGAGAGACUUCUGGGAAAAGGCUGAGAAGGGGUGGCCAGAGAAGUAAAGGAGCCAGGAGAGCGAGCAGGGGCACAGAAGCCAAGAGAGUGGCGUGUCAAGGACUGAGUGAAGAGCACUGUCAAAUGUUGCAGAGAGGUGAAGCAAGACAAGGAUGGAGAACAGCUUUGAGGCAUGAGUAGAGAAGACAGGACUGUUCAAGGACUCCUCAAUGAGUGAAGCAUUUACUACCAAACAAAGAAAAUGCAAACUGCCCAGGUCUGUAUCACUUUUAGUCAUUUUUUAUAGUAGGGUUCUAUAUAAGACUUCUUAUGAAAAAUGUUUGAAUAUCACUGCUUUGGAUUUAUUCCACUUCCCUCUGGCAUUUCUCUCCUCCCCACUGCAUUUCUCCUUAAUUGCUAAAAGGGAGAAAGGUCCUCUUUCCUUGAAGGAGCCCUGGGCUAACACAGCCUGUACUUACUGACUUGCACUCACAAUGAGCUUUCUUUCCUGACUUAGAAGCUAGGGGAUGGUUGCCCUGCUGCUGGCGGAUCCUGUUCUUCCAUCCUCGAUAAGACUGGAUAUCUGGGCAUCAGACUUCCUUAAUUUGGACUGGCUUGUGACCUCCAUUCUCCAUCCCUGCAGUUACCUGGAAAACCACCUUAGCACCAUGUAGAAGGAAAAGACGUCUGAAACCAAAACAAUAGUCCUAUCCAUUACAUGGGGGUUGAGGGGCUUGGGGGAAGACACCCAGUUCCAGCCCUGGGGUUCCUCCACCUCUGGAAAAUCUGACCUGCCCCUUUUUUAAAGUGCACUUACCAGAUGGGGAUAUUAUAGAAGGAACUCUUUGUUAAAAAAAAAAAAAAAAGUUUAAGUGUAUAUUGGGGAAAAGGCAGGCUCCA
Molecule: long non-coding RNA, 1080 nt
Organism: Myotis myotis
Lineage: Eukaryota; Metazoa; Chordata; Mammalia; Chiroptera; Vespertilionidae
Exons: 4
Source: RefSeq, a predicted model, not a curated record